This is a long non-coding RNA of Myotis myotis, 1862 nucleotides long. RefSeq lists it as uncharacterized. The record is from RefSeq and is a predicted model, not a curated record. The transcript has 3 exons. NCBI's taxonomy places the organism in Eukaryota, Metazoa, Chordata, Mammalia, Chiroptera, Vespertilionidae.
AUUUUGCCAUCUGUAAAACGGACAUGAGGACAUCCUCCUUGCUACACAGCUGCUGGGAGAACUGAUUGAGAUCAUGUUUAUUAACACUCCUAACACAGUGCCUGGAACUUCGGUGGGACCCAAUAAAAUAAGAAUCCAUUGGUUUUCAGAGGCUUCGAGAGCCAUUGAGCCUGCUGAGGCCAUGAUUAUUCUAUUAGCCACCGGCAAGCUGAGAAGCGGAUUCCAAAACAGGCCAAGUGCAGACGCCAGGGCACGUGAGCGGCGCGAGCCGGCAGCACAGCGCUGAGCCCGCGAAUCCCCCAGCCCCGAGUUCACAAACUCGCGUGGGAGUGCACACUAAGGAAGAUUCCAAGGAGAAAAUGAAAAGCAGGAAGGGAAAAAACAACACAGAGACAGUGACUGACUUGCAGUCCUAAGGAGAGGAGGCAUUUCCGGAAGCAAACAAAAACAGUUUCUUUUUCUGCCUGUGACAAGAGAGUAAACAAGGCGCCAGCAGCUUUUGCAAAAAGAAACGGUGCGGCCAGAAGCCUCAGGUGCAACCGCCGCCUCGGGCUUAUUCCCUAACUUUGGGGGGGAAACCGGCGAUGUCAGUUCCAGCCCGCGUUCCCCACCGCCGGGCGCGCACUCCCGCCGCCCGGAGCGGACCUGUGGCUGCGCUGUGUACAGGAUGACAUCCCAACCAACGGAGCCACCUAGCCAGGGCAAAGGAGGACCUGAUCCCUUCUCCACUGGAUCUGAAGUGGGACCAUGUGAAGUGUGGGACUGCUGCGGUUGUGAAGAAAGUUUGUGGGCCUGCCAGCGCUGAGGACAGAGUCAGCCCAGGCUGAAGAGAAACUGUGCUGAGAGGCAGAGCCUGACAGUGCCACCUGAGUCCUGCUGUCAUCUUGAAACCCUGGACUCCCACAGUUACCCAACACCAUACAGUCUCAAUUUUUGCUUAACCCCGAUUCUUACAACUAAUAGAGUCCUAAUUUAUAUAUCACCAGAGCUUAUGAUCAGCAUAAGAAGUCCUGUUACCAAGUUAACUAUUACAAUUUCAGCCUUAAGUAAAGAUAAUUGUCUACCCAGGCCUCAGGAAAUAGCAAAAUAACUAGGAACAUUCCUUCUACUAAAGAAUUUUUCUAUCACUAGAGGGUGCUAGAUACCAUCUCAGCCAAGUAAGGAAGAAACUGAAUAAUUUCAUGUCUAUCAAUUAAUCCUAUAUAAUAAAAGGGUAAUAUGCAAAUUGACCCUAACAGUGGAAUGGCCAAGAAGGACUGGUCGCUAUGGUGCACACUGACCCCCAGGGGCAGACACUCAACGCAGGAGCUAUCCCCAGUGGUCAGUGCACUUCCACAGGGGGAGCGCCACUCAGCCAGCAGCCGGCUCAUGGCUGGCCAGCGCAGCGGUGGUGGGAGCCUCUCCCACCUCCGUGGAAGCGCUAAGGAUGUGCAACUAACAGCUAAGCCCUUAGUCAGAUAUCUCCUGAGGGCUCCCAGACUGCAAGAGGGAUAUCUGACUGCCAGCUUAGGUAUGAUCCCCCUCAGAAGUUUAUUUUAUCUUAUUUUUGCAAUUUGCAAAUGGUCUUCUCAAGGCCACGUGGACUAUCAACAUCUAAGUGACAAUUUAGGUGGGCCCUGCCCAUACCUACCAACAUCAGUGCCUUUUACUUUCCUGUACUGUUUUCCUCCUUCACCAGAUUAGAGGGCAUAAGCAUUGCCUGCACUCCAUCAUCUUCGCUUCUCCACAAAGAAAACAGGAUUUUAAAAUUUUUUCUGGAAAAGAACUAAAAAGGAAUUGUUAGAUUAGGCCUAAGCCGGCAGGUGGACAUCCCUUGAAAGCUCCUGGACUGCAAGAUGGCACAGGCCGGGCUGAGGGACAUC